RNAcentral lists this small RNA (2884 nucleotides) under Pan troglodytes (chimpanzee). RNAcentral's name for it is "retained intron". Lineage: Eukaryota; Metazoa; Chordata; Mammalia; Primates; Hominidae. The record is from RNAcentral.
AAAGAGGCUUUCUCACCAGCCAAAGUUCAGGUACUGCCCCUGUCUGAGUUUGGACAUGUGGCCCACAGAUGCCAGCUGGGGGCUGGAAUACUGUACCUUGAUCUUAGGGCCUGGAAAAAUCAGGUAGGUAACUCUCUGGUCCUAGGUGGAGGUGUAGGGGAGGUUGGGCCAGGGAUGCCUUCACUGUGUCUCUCUGGUCUUGCCACCCCAGACCGAGGGACACACAGGCACUGCUGUCUGCAACACAAGCAAUGGAGCUGCGGAGGCGAGACUACCACAUGGAACGGCCGCUGCUGAACCAGGAGCAUUUGGAGGAGCUGGGGCGCUGGGGCUCAGCACCUAGGACCCACCAGUGGCGGACCUGGUUGCAGUGCUCCCGUGCUCAGGCCUAUGCCCUUCUGCUCCAACACCUCCCGGUUUUGGUCUGGUUACCCCGGUAUCCUGUGCGUGACUGGCUCCUGGGUGACCUGUUAUCCGGCCUGAGUGUGGCCAUCAUGCAGCUUCCGCAGGGCUUGGCCUACGCCCUCCUGGCUGGAUUGCCCCCCGUGUUUGGCCUCUAUAGCUCCUUCUACCCUGUCUUCAUCUACUUCCUGUUUGGCACUUCCCGGCACAUCUCCGUGGGGACCUUUGCAGUCAUGUCUGUGAUGGUGGGCAGUGUGACAGAAUCCCUGGCCCCGCAGGCCUUGAACGACUCCAUGAUCAAUGAGACAGCCAGAGACGCUGCCCGGGUACCGGUGGCCUCCACACUCAGUGUCCUGGUUGGCCUCUUCCAGGUGGGGCUGGGCCUGAUCCACUUCGGCUUCGUGGUCACCUACCUGUCAGAACCUCUUGUCCGAGGCUAUACCACAGCUGCAGCUGUGCAGGUCUUCGUCUCACAGCUCAAGUAUGUGUUUGGCCUCCAUCUGAGCAGCCACUCUGGGCCACUGUCCCUCAUCUAUGUGAGUGAGGGUAGGGGGAGGGAGGGGUAGGUGUGCCCCAUGGCCUUGAGUGCUAGCUGUGACCUGGCCUCUCCUCAGACAGUGCUGGAGGUCUGCUGGAAGCUGCCCCAGAGCAAGGUUGGCACCGUGGUCACUGCAGCUGUGGCUGGGGUGGUGCUCGUGGUGGUGAAGCUGUUGAAUGACAAGCUGCAGCAGCAGCUGCCCAUGCCGAUACCCGGGGAGCUGCUCACGCUCAUCGGGGCCACAGGCAUCUCCUAUGGCAUGGGUCUGAAGCACAGAUUUGAGGUAGAUGUCGUGGGCAACAUCCCUGCAGGGCUGGUGCCCCCAGUGGCCCCCAACACCAAGCUGUUCUCAAAGCUCGUGGGCAGCGCCUUCACCAUCGCUGUGGUUGGGUUUGCCAUUGCCAUCUCACUGGGGAAGAUCUUCGCCCUGAGGCACGGCUACCGGGUGGACAGCAACCAGGAGCUGGUGGCCCUGGGCCUCAGUAACCUCAUCGGAGGCAUCUUCCAGUGCUUCCCCGUGAGUUGCUCUAUGUCUCGGAGCCUGGUACAGGAGAGCACCGGGGGCAACUCGCAGGUUGCUGGAGCCAUCUCUUCCCUUUUCAUCCUCCUCAUCAUUGUCAAACUUGGGAAACUCUUCCAUGACCUGCCCAAGGCGGUCCUGGCAGCCAUCAUCAUUGUGAACCUGAAGGGCAUGCUGCGGCAGCUCAGCGACAUGCGCUCCCUCUGGAAGGCCAAUCGGGCGGAUCUGCUUAUCUGGCUGGUGACCUUCACGGCCACCAUCUUGCUGAACCUGGACCUUGGCUUGGUGGUUGCGGUCAUCUUCUCCCUGCUGCUCGUGGUGGUCCGGACACAGAUGCCCCACUACUCUGUCCUGGGGCAGGUGCCAGACACGGAUAUUUACAGAGAUGUGGCAGAGUACUCAGAGGCCAAGGAAGUCCCGGGGGUGAAGGUCUUCCGCUCCUCGGCCACCGUGUACUUUGCCAAUGCUGAGUUCUACAGUGAUGCGCUGAAGCAGAGGGUGAGACGGAGUCCCCAGGAUGGGUGUCAGGCCCCAGCUCCCAGAGAGCUCACCAACCCUUCUCUGAUGUUUGCCUCCAGUGUGGUGUGGAUGUCGACUUCCUCAUCUCCCAGAAGAAGAAACUGCUCAAGAAGCAGGAGCAGCUGAAGCUGAAGCAACUGCAGAAAGAGGAGAAGCUUCAGAAACAGGCUGCCUCCUCCAAGGGCGCCUCAGUUUCCAUUAAUGUCAACACCAGCCUUGAAGACAUGAGGAGCAACAACGUUGAGGACUGCAAGAUGAUGCAGGUGAGCUCAGGAGAUAAGAUGGAAGAUGCAACAGCCAAUGGUCAAGAAGACUCCAAGGCCCCAGAUGGGUCCACACUGAAGGCCCUGGGCCUGCCUCAGCCAGACUUCCACAGCCUCAUCCUGGACCUGGGUGCCCUCUCCUUUGUGGACACUGUGUGCCUCAAGAGCCUGAAGAAUAUUUUCCAUGACUUCCGGGAGAUUGAGGUGGAGGUGUACAUGGCGGCCUGCCACAGCCCUGUGGUCAGCCAGCUUGAGGCUGGGCACUUCUUCGAUGCAUCCAUCACCAAGAAGCAUCUCUUUGCCUCUGUCCAUGAUGCUGUCACCUUUGCCCUCCAACACCCGAGGCCUGUCCCCGACAGCCCUGUUUCGGUCACCAGACUCUGAACAUGCUACAUCCUGCCCAAGACUGCACCUCUGGAGGUGCAGGGCACCCUUGAGAAGCCCCUCACCCCUAGGCCGCCUCCAGGUGCUACCCAGGAGUCCCCUCCAUGUACACACACACAACUCAGGGAAGGAGGUCCUGGACUCCAAGUUCAGCGCUCCAGGUCUGGGACAGGGCCUGCAUGCAGUCAGGCUGGCAGUGGCGCGGUACAGGGAGGGAACUGGUGCAUAUUUUAGCCUCAGGAAUAAAGAUUUGUCUGC